RNAcentral lists this ribosomal RNA (253 nucleotides) under uncultured bacterium. RNAcentral describes it as "partial 16S ribosomal RNA". It matches the Rfam family "Bacterial small subunit ribosomal RNA", at positions 524 to 776 of the family's 1533-position model. The record is from RNAcentral.
UACGUAGGGGGCGAGCGUUGUCCGGAAUCAUUGGGCGUAAAGCGCGUGUAGGCGGCUUGGUAAGUCCGGUGUGAAACCUUGGGGCUCAACCCCAAGCCUGCACUGGAUACUGCCUCGCUUGAGUCCGGGAGGGGAGAGCGGAAUUCCUAGUGUAGCGGUGAAAUGCGCAGAUAUCAGGAGGAACACCGGUGGCGAAGGCGGGUCUCUGGGCCGAUACUGACGCUGAGGAGCGAAAGCGUGGGGAGCGAACAGG